CUACGGGGCGCAGCAGUGGGGAAUAUUGGACAAUGGGGGAAACCCUGAUCCAGCAAUGCCGCGUGUGUGAAGAAGGCCUGCGGGUUGUAAAGCACUUUCGGUUGGGAGGACUGCUUCUAGCACUAAUAUUGUUGGAAGUUGACGUUACCUUCAGAAGAAGCACCGGCUAACUCCGUGCCAGCAGCCGCGGUAAUACGGAGGGUGCAGGCGUCAAUCGGAAUUACUGGGCGUAAAGCGCGCGUAGGCGGCUAGAUCAGUCGGGUGUGAAAGCCCCGGGCUUAACCUGGGAACUGCAUCCGAUACUGUCUAGCUUGAGUACAGGAGAGGAGAGUGGAAUUCCACAUGUAGCGGUGAAAUGCGUAGAUAUGUGGAGGAACACCAAUGGCGAAGGCAGCUCUCUGGCCUGAUACUGACGCUGAGGUGCGAAAGCGUGGGGAGCAAACAGGAUUAGAUACCCCCGUAGUC
Molecule: ribosomal RNA, 465 nt
Filed under: uncultured bacterium
Lineage: Bacteria
Description: partial 16S ribosomal RNA
Rfam family: Bacterial small subunit ribosomal RNA
Source: RNAcentral